Molecule: ribosomal RNA, 897 nt
Filed under: uncultured bacterium
Lineage: Bacteria
Description: bacterial SSU rRNA
Rfam family: Bacterial small subunit ribosomal RNA
Source: RNAcentral
GAUGAACGCUAGCUACAGGCUUAACACAUGCAAGUCGAGGGGAAACGAUAGAGAAAGCUUGCUUUUUCUAGGCGUCGACCGGCGCACGGGUGAGUAACGCGUAUCCAACCUGCCCAUCACUUGGGGAUAACCUUGCGAAAGUAAGACUAAUACCCAAUGAUAUCUCUAGAAGACAUCUGAAAGAGAUUAAAGAUUUAUCGGUGAUGGAUGGGGAUGCGUCUGAUUAGCUUGUUGGCGGGGUAACGGCCCACCAAGGCGACGAUCAGUAGGGGUUCUGAGAGGAAGGUCCCCCACAUUGGAACUGAGACACGGUCCAAACUCCUACGGGAGGCAGCAGUGAGGAAUAUUGGUCAAUGGACGAGAGUCUGAACCAGCCAAGUAGCGUGCAGGAUGACGGCCCUAUGGGUUGUAAACUGCUUUUAUAAGGGAAUAAAGUGAGUCUCGUGAGACUUUUUGCAUGUACCUUAUGAAUAAGGACCGGCUAAUUCCGUGCCAGCAGCCGCGGUAAUACGGAAGGUCCGGGCGUUAUCCGGAUUUAUUGGGUUUAAAGGGAGCGUAGGCCGGAGAUUAAGCGUGUUGUGAAAUGUAGACGCUCAACGUCUGCACUGCAGCGCGAACUGGUUUCCUUGAGUACGCACAAAGUGGGCGGAAUUCGUGGUGUAGCGGUGAAAUGCUUAGAUAUCACGAAGAACUCCGAUUGCGAAGGCAGCUCACUGGAGCGCAACUGACGCUGAAGCUCGAAAGUGCGGGUAUCGAACAGGAUUAGAUACCCUGGUAGUCCGCACGGUAAACGAUGGAUGCCCGCUGUUGGUCUGAAUAGGUCAGCGGCCAAGCGAAAGCAUUAAGCAUCCCACCUGGGGAGUACGCCGGCAACGGUGAAACUCAAAUGAAUUGACG